RNAcentral lists this ribosomal RNA (731 nucleotides) under uncultured Campylobacter sp. RNAcentral's name for it is "bacterial SSU rRNA". It matches the Rfam family "Bacterial small subunit ribosomal RNA", at positions 28 to 776 of the family's 1533-position model. Lineage: Bacteria; Pseudomonadati; Campylobacterota; Epsilonproteobacteria; Campylobacterales; Campylobacteraceae. The record is from RNAcentral.
AGUGAACGCUGGCGGCGUGCCUAAUACAUGCAAGUCGAACGGAGAUUAAGUAGCUUGCUAUUUAAUCUUAGUGGCGCACGGGUGAGUAAUGUAUAGUUAAUCUGCCCCAUAGUGGAGGACAACAGUUAGAAAUGACUGCUAAUACUCCAUACUCCUUCUUAUCAUAAGUUAGGUCGGGAAAGUUUUUCGCUAUGGGAUGAGACUAUAUCGUAUCAGCUAGUUGGUAAGGUAAUGGCUUACCAAGGCUAUGACGCGUAACUGGUCUGAGAGGAUGAUCAGUCACAUUGGAACUGAGACACGGUCCAAACUCCUACGGGAGGCAGCAGUAGGGAAUAUUGCGCAAUGGGGGAAACCCUGACGCAGCAACGCCGCGUGGAGGAUGACACUUUUCGGAGCGUAAACUCCUUUUGUUAGGGAAGAAUAAUGACGGUGCCUAACGAAUAAGCACCGGCUAACUCCGUGCCAGCAGCCGCGGUAAUACGGAGGGUGCAAGCGUUACUCGGAAUCACUGGGCGUAAAGGACGCGUAGGCGGAUUAUCAAGUCUCUUGUGAAAUCUAGUGGCUUAACCACUAAACUGCUUGGGAAACUGAUAAUCUAGAGUAAGGGAGAGGCAGAUGGAAUUCUUGGUGUAGGGGUAAAAUCCGUAGAGAUCAAGAAGAAUACUUAUUGCGAAGGCGAUCUGCUAGAACUUAACUGACGCUAAUGCGUGAAAGCGUGGGGAGCAAACAGG